AGAGUUUGAUCAUGGCUCAGAGCGAACGCUGGCGGCAUGCCUAACACAUGCAAGUCGAGCGCCGUAGCAAUACGGAGCGGCGGACGGGUGAGUAACGCGUAGGAACGUAUCCUGAGGUGGGGGAUAACCCUGGGAAACUAGGGCUAAUACCGCAUGAUGACUCGCGAGGGUCCAAAGAUUUAUCGCCUUGGGAGCGGCCUGCGUCCGAUUAGCUAGUUGGUGAGGUGACGGCUCACCAAGGCUCUGAUCGGUAGCUGGUCUGAGAGGAUGAUCAGCCACACUGGGACUGAGACACGGCCCAGACUCCUACGGGAGGCAGCAGUGGGGAAUAUUGGACAAUGGGCGCAAGCCUGAUCCAGCAAUGCCGCGUGGAUGAAGAAGGUCUUCGGAUUGUAAAGUCCUUUCGGCGGGGACGAUGAUGACUGUACCCGCAGAAGAAGCCCCGGCUAACUUCGUGCCAGCAGCCGCGGUAAUAC
Molecule: ribosomal RNA, 476 nt
Filed under: uncultured bacterium
Lineage: Bacteria
Description: bacterial SSU rRNA
Rfam family: Bacterial small subunit ribosomal RNA
Source: RNAcentral